UCAAAAACAUGUCCUUUUGGUUUUAUUUAAGGUCUAACCUGCCCAAUGAUUUUAUUUAAUGGCCGCGGUAUUUUAACUGUGCUAAGGUAGCAUAAUCAUUUGUCUUUUAAUUGAAGGCUGGUAUGAAUGGUUGGACGAGGCAUAUACUUUCUUUAAUUUAAUUUAUGAAUUUAAUUUUUUAGUCAAAAAGCUAAAAUUUAUUUGUUGGACGAGAAGACCCUAUAGAUCUUAAUAUUUAUCGGUUAAUUUAAUAAUUUGGUUAAUUUAUUAUUUGGAUUAAUGAGAGUAUUUGGUUGGGGUGACUAUAGAAUUUUAAUAACUUCUAUUAUAUUUUUUCAUUUAUUUAUGUUUUAUUGAUCCAUUGUUGAUGAUUAUAAGAUUAAGUUACCUUAGGGAUAACAGCGUUAUUCUUUUGAAGAGUUCAUAUCGAUAAAAGAGUUUGCGACCUCGAUGUUGGAUUAAAGUAAGUAGUAGAUGCAGUAGUUUACUAACUAGGUCUGUUCGACCUUUUAUUUUUUACAUGAUCUGAGUU
RNAcentral lists this ribosomal RNA (532 nucleotides) under Apiomerus nigricollis. Its description in RNAcentral is "partial 16S ribosomal RNA". It matches the Rfam family "Bacterial large subunit ribosomal RNA", at positions 1807 to 2611 of the family's 2925-position model. The record is from RNAcentral. Lineage: Eukaryota; Metazoa; Arthropoda; Insecta; Hemiptera; Reduviidae.